UAAGGAAUAUUGGGCAAUGGGCGAAAGCCUGACCCAGCCACGCCGCGUGAGUGAUGAAGGCCUUCGGGUCGUAAAGCUCUGUGGGGAGGGACGAACAAAUCUGGGGCUAAUCACCCGGAUCCUGACGGUACCUCCUUAGCAAGCACCGGCUAACCCUGUGCCAGCAGCCGCGGUAAUACAGGGGGUGCAAACGUUGCUCGGAAUCAUUGGGCGUAAAGCGCACGUAGGCGGUCUGUUAUGUCGGAUGUGAAAGCCCAUGGCUUAACUGAGGAAGUGCAUCCGAAACUGGCAGGCUAGAGUACUAAAGAGGGUCGCGGAAUUCCCGGUGUAGAGGUGAAAUUCGUAGAUAUCGGGAGGAACACCGGUGGCGAAGGCGGCGACCUGGGUAGAUACUGACGCUGAGGUGCGAAAGCGUGGGGAGCAAAC
RNAcentral lists this ribosomal RNA (426 nucleotides) under uncultured bacterium. Its description in RNAcentral is "bacterial SSU rRNA". It matches the Rfam family "Bacterial small subunit ribosomal RNA", at positions 355 to 773 of the family's 1533-position model. The record is from RNAcentral.